RNAcentral lists this ribosomal RNA (452 nucleotides) under [Eubacterium] infirmum. RNAcentral describes it as "bacterial SSU rRNA". It matches the Rfam family "Bacterial small subunit ribosomal RNA", at positions 28 to 479 of the family's 1533-position model. Lineage: Bacteria; Bacillati; Bacillota; Clostridia; Peptostreptococcales; Anaerovoracaceae. The record is from RNAcentral.
GAUGAACGCUGGCGGCGUGCCUAACACAUGCAAGUCGAGCGAGAAGUAAAGAAAUGAAGCUUCGGUAGAUUUUCAUUAUGGAAAGCGGCGGACGGGUGAGUAACGCGUAGGCAACCUGCCCUGUACAGGGGGAUAGCCACCCGAAAAGGUGAUUAAUACCCCAUGAUGCAAGAGAUACACAUGUAUCACUUGUCAAAGAUUUAUCGGUAUGGGAUGGGCCUGCGUCUGAUUAGCUAGUUGGUAGGGUAACGGCUUACCAAGGCAACGAUCAGUAGCCGACCUGAGAGGGUGAUCGGCCACAUUGGAACUGAGACACGGUCCAAACUCCUACGGGAGGCAGCAGUGGGGAAUAUUGCACAAUGGGGGAAACCCUGAUGCAGCAACGCCGCGUGAAGGAAGAAGGCCUUCGGGUUGUAAACUUCUGUCCUAGGGGAAGAAACAAAUGACAUACC